This 425-nucleotide ribosomal RNA is filed under the name uncultured bacterium. Its description in RNAcentral is "partial 16S ribosomal RNA". It matches the Rfam family "Bacterial small subunit ribosomal RNA", at positions 354 to 796 of the family's 1533-position model. The record is from RNAcentral.
GUGGGGAAUAUUGGACAAUGGGCGCAAGCCUGAUCCAGCAAUGCCGCGUGGGUGAAGAAGGUCUUCGGAUCGUAAAGCCCUUUCGACAGGGACGAUGAUGACGGUACCUGUAGAAGAAGCCCCGGCUAACUUCGUGCCAGCAGCCGCGGUAAUACGAAGGGGGCUAGCGUUACUCGGAAUUACUGGGCGUAAAGGGCGCGUAGGCGGCUCUGUUAGUCAGGCGUGAAAUUCCUGGGCUUAACCUGGCGACUGCGUUUGAUACUGCAGGGCUUGAGGCCGAGAGAGGGUGGUGGAAUUCCCAGUGUAGAGGUGAAAUUCGUAGAUAUUGGGAAGAACACCGGUGGCGAAGGCGACCACCUGGCUCGGUUCUGACGCUGAGGCGCGACAGCGUGGGGAGCAAACAGGAUUAGAUACCCGAGUAGUCC